GGGGUUGUUGCUCAGCGGUAGAGCACUUGCCUUGCACGUGGGAGGCUCUGGGCUCAAUUCUCAGCACCA
RNAcentral lists this transfer RNA (69 nucleotides) under Ictidomys tridecemlineatus (thirteen-lined ground squirrel). RNAcentral's name for it is "Spermophilus tridecemlineatus (thirteen-lined ground squirrel) tRNA". It matches the Rfam family "tRNA". From Rfam's summary of the family: Transfer RNA (tRNA) molecules are approximately 80 nucleotides in length. Lineage: Eukaryota; Metazoa; Chordata; Mammalia; Rodentia; Sciuridae. The record is from Rfam by way of RNAcentral.